UACGAAGGGAGCUAGCGUUGUUCGGAAUUACUGGGCGUAAAGGGCGCGUAGGCGGUUUAACAAGUUGGAUGUGAAAGCCCUGGGCUCAACCCGGGAAUUGCAUUCAAGACUGUUUCACUAGAAUUCGGUAGAGGUUGGUAGAAUUCCCAGUGUAGAGGUGAAAUUCGUAGAGAUUGGGAAGAAUACCCGUGGCGAAGGCGGCCAACUGGACCGACAUUGACGCUGAGGCGCGAAAGCGUGGGUAGCAAACAGG
Molecule: ribosomal RNA, 253 nt
Filed under: uncultured bacterium
Lineage: Bacteria
Description: partial 16S ribosomal RNA
Rfam family: Bacterial small subunit ribosomal RNA
Source: RNAcentral